GAGUACUAUGCCAAAUGACUGAGCAACUUGUGAUAUAAAUACGAGUCGAAAUCACGGUACGUUUAAUGUUCGUUCGUCAAACCAAACAUACCGUGCUACAAACAAAAUUUUCAUCUCCUAUCAAACUUAUCGAAUCCACCGGUCCUUAAGCGGAAUUUAUUUUGAAUUUAAUUCAUAAAAGAGUUUAAACAUGCAGUUAUUAAAAUUAUUUUCUGUUUUCUUAUUAUUUUGUUUAUCUUUGAUUUCUGUGACAACCGCAUGUGUGGGACACGACGGAGUAUGUUCCGGUGCUAACGGUAGCCAAGGAAAUUGUUGUUCCGGAAUGCAUUGUCAAAAGAAUGAUCCAAGCUGGGCCAAAGGUAGAUGCUACUACAAUCCAGGAAAAUAAAAAUGAAGAAAAUACAACGUAAAAUCAAUCGUUUCUAUAUCAAAUGUUUACCACAAUAUCCAAAAUUAACAUAAAAAUGUUCUAUCUUAUGUGUAAAAAAAAAUUAUAAUGAAUUUUUAAUCGUGUCAUAUUAUAUAAUAUAAAAAAAAAUUGUUUAAAAAUAAAUACUACUUAUAACUUAUUAUAGCUUACAAACUGUGGUUUUAAGGGUUUUGUGCCCAUAACACGCGUUUUUCCAUUAUAUAAACAAGAUAUAUAUAAGUUGUACGUAUGUUAUGAUACUAUUUUCAACAUUAUAUUAAUAUAACAAUAUUAUAAAUAUCACCAAUAAAAACAAAAUAUGUCCGUAAAAAUA
RNAcentral lists this long non-coding RNA (743 nucleotides) under Cinara cedri. Lineage: Eukaryota; Metazoa; Arthropoda; Insecta; Hemiptera; Aphididae. The record is from RNAcentral.